Molecule: long non-coding RNA, 22929 nt
Organism: Brassica rapa (field mustard)
Lineage: Eukaryota; Viridiplantae; Streptophyta; Magnoliopsida; Brassicales; Brassicaceae
Source: RefSeq, a predicted model, not a curated record
ACUUAUUUUUUUAUGUUUUAAGCCAUUUGAACGUUUUUGGAUAUGCAGGUUUUUCAGAUCUGGAAGACUUCUGGGACGACUUACCUGUUAGUCGUCUAAAAUAUAAUGCACUAGACGACUUCCAGGAAGUUUUCCAGACGACUUCCAUUUGGGGUUUUUAGCUUAAUGUGGAGAGAAAGUGAGAGAUAUGUUGUGUUUAGUUCAUAAGAAUGGAGAAAGAAGAAUGGUAAAUCAUUUUUGGGAGCAUUAAGAGCUUCAAAUUGGUUGUUCAUGGUGGUUAGGGUAUUGAUGACAAUGACAAUCUUGUAAUUACUUGAAGAUGAUGAGGGUGAGAGAGUAAAAAUGUCAUUUUUGAAAAGAAAAAAAAUUGAUGGCAUUUUCGUGAAUUAUAUGAACUUGUGGGGUGAAUAGAGCAAAACAAAUUUCCAAAAAAAAGAGAGAUUAGUUUUGUGUUUGACUUUGAGUUGUAGGUCAAUUUUGCAAAAAGCCCAAUUAACAUCAACAUCUUUGUAUUCUUAUUUCUUACAUACAUAAACCAUUUCCCUUUCACUUCCUCUUUUACUUCAUUCCAAAAUCCCAACUUUUUUAUUUCAAAAUUUAUAAGCUUAUGAGAUUUACUCAAGUUCAUAAUUCUUGGUCAAGAAUGAAUGGGUAACUUUCACUAAAAAGUUAUAUGUGAUUGGAGAAGUUAAAUAUGAACCUCACAUGAUCUAAUAAUCAUCUUUGAAUUUUUUUAUAGAUAUGUUCGCAUAGAAAAUUUAUGUAGAAGUCUUCUCCAGACUUCUACAAAAGUUUUCUGGCCAAUGAAAAGGUUAAUUUUGCAAUUGACUUUCUGUGUGUUUUUAGAGAAGACUUCUCUCGAAAUCUUCCAACUUUUCUUUGUUAACAAAAAAACGAGAAGACCUACCGGGAAACCUUGUCGGAUAAACAUGUUAGUUUUACAAUUGACCGAAUUGUGUCAGAAAUUUGACUUUUUCAUAAAGUCUUCUCAACUUUUGGUGGAAGUCAUCUUACUUUUGGUGAGAGCCGUCUUAGGUUACUUUUGCAAUUGACAAAGAAAAAUAAAUAUUUAAUUUUAAUUAGAAGACUUCGAGGAAAGUAUUAUGGCAGAAAACUUCAAUGGAAGUCGACAAGAUUUUGUCUUUUAAAGAAAAUCAAAUUUGACAAUUAAAUAUUUAAGUCUUCUUGUUAAAAUUAUAUAUCUAAGUUUCAAUUGUCAAUUUGAAAAUUACAAAAGUAACCUAAAACGACUUUCAUCGACGAUGAGAAGAAUUCCACCAACGUUGAGAAUAUUUCUAGGGAAGUCUUCUAAAGAAAGUCAAAUUUCUGACACAAUUCUGUCAAUUGCAAAACUAACAUGUUUAUUCGAGAAGACUUCACGGUAAGUCUUCUAAGGUAUUUUUGAGACUUAGUCUGAAUAGAAACCCUAACUCUAACUUAGUCUGAAUAGAAACCCUAACUCUAACGCCUUUCAUAUCUGUUUCAAAACCUCAAUCAAUCAACCGAGCAAUUACCUUGCUCACACCACUGCUAUUUACAUUUAAACAUGUUUGCCUAGCUUGACCACAUAGGUAAUAAAUCUUUUGUGUGCCUUAUCUCCCUGGGAAUUCGAUCCCUAAGUGCUACAACUCGAUCUCUUAUUUGAGAAACUACAAAUCACUCCUUAGGGUAAUUUGAGUGAUAUCAGUUAGUUUUUGUAAACUUGUAUUUUUAAGAGUGUUUAGUAACUUUAAGAUGAGUUUUUAACUUCCAAAAGUGCUAAGUAUUUUCAAGAGUAUCAAGUCAUGUGCUUUAAUGUGUCUUCUUAGAUCAUAAUGUAUACCUUUUUUUAACUUUCAUGUGAUUUAAAAUUUCAGUUUUCACUGAAAUUUAAGUUUCCGCUUAAAUUUUAAUUUCCCACUUAUAUUUUAAAUUCCCGCUUAUAACUUAACUCUUUCUGGAAGAGUUCUGAUAAGCUCAAAUUAACUUUCAAGCUACUCUCUCAAAUAAGAGGUUCAUUGUAGUAUUUGAGGAUCGAAUCCACAGGGAGCGUGGACACACAAUAGACUAUAAAUAUUAAGAUCAAGCUAGGCAAAUAAUAGUAUAACAGUAAACGGAAAAUAGAUAUAACAGUUGUAAGUGAUAAGGAGAAAACACUAGACCUAGGGAUUUAUUAUUCAAGGGAUUCAAAACACAAAUCAAGGAUGCUAAGGAUUUUAUAGAUUUAAUUCUAGAACUCGAAUACAAUUAUAAGAUCUCCACCUCUUCCUGUGAGUCUACAUGUUUAAAUCUUUAUUCAUAAUCUCGUACGCGAUACCAAACGAGAAUAGAUCGAUACACCUAUAGGGUGUCUAUAGAUACCGAUUAAGUUUAACUAAAUUCCUAGAGCAACUCUUGUAUUCGCCUAGGUAUCUAAUACAGCAGAGCUCGGGUUCCAUUAAUUCAUUGCACUCUCGUGCCUCUCAAUUGUCCUUUGGUUCAAGGUUCAAGCAAUUAGUCACACUCUCAUGUUAUUCUAACUACUCUAGAUCCUAGUAUAUAAGCCACCCUGGUGUAGAAAUCUAUAAACAAUCCUAGCAAUUCUAAUUGAAUAUCAGUUUGACAUUAAGCUCAUGAAAUCCUUAAAUCUAAUAGGAUGAUUACUUAGACAUGAAAGCAAUAACACAAAUCAUGGUCUGAAUAGAAAUCAUAUAAAUCAAAUAGAAAAACCAAGGAGUUCCAAUCAACCACUGAAGGAUAAUUAAUCUUCUCUCCAAACUUAAGAGAAAACAAUAAAAUAUGAAAUGCAAAAACUUAGUCAUCAACAAUGGCUUAGAAAACUAUAUAAACUAUGUAUCAAGUCGUCCAAGGGCAUUAAGGUAAUUUAUGGUGACUUCUGGGCCUUAGUCAGUCAUAAAAUAGACUCGGCCCAUGUUAUGGCAUCAGUGUCAUUUGAUACCUAUGUAUUAGUGUCGAUCGACACUCUUCCAUAUCCUCGACAGCUUCCUCUCGCGAGUCAGGCGUACCAUUCUUCAGUAAAACAAGCAUAACGACUUCUAUAUGAUGCUGAUUGACCUCAAACCGUUGGCAUUGGAAAGAUAACUCAAAACUGUAUCUUGUGUCAAAAGAUCAGCGCAAUCGCACUAUGGGAAGGUCUCCAUCCAUAGCUUACAUCAGACGCACCUAUGCAGUUCUGCAUCUCGAAUAGCUCCAAAAUGACCAAAGUAUCCAGAACAUACCUGAACCUCAAAAUACUCUAAAACACACUCCAAACAGAUAUAAUAGACUCAAUAAAAUAAUUUUACCAUGGUCUAAAAUAAGUAAAAUUCAUUUUAUAUCAACUCCCCCAGACUUAUCCUUUUGUUUGUCAUCAAGAAAAACAUAGAAUAAUCCUGUUAAAAAGGUUUUGCAGGGAUUCAAACAAUUUUAAACUUACUACCAUCACCUGUUGCAAGCCACAUCAAAUCAAUGGCGACUUUAGAUGCACUUUAUAUACUAUAGCAACUAAAUCCAUUCUAGCCAACAACUUACCUAAUAAUGUCUGACUAACCCAUCUACUAACCUCAUUUCUUACAUGUAAAAGGUGCAGGCUUUACCUUGGGAGUAUCGAUCAAAGGACACAUGGACUCUUACUAAAACAAGUAUCUGGACCAACAUGUAGGCUUUUCUGACUCUUUCCCUCUCUCUUCUCUCUUCUCUGAAUCCUAUUAUCUCAAUGCCAAUGAAUAGUGAUGAAUAGCCAUCCUGUUCAUCUUAUUGACUUCCUCAACAUAUGUAACUUUCUCUUCUUUUUGACAAAGUAUAGGCGAAUAAUGGGGUCAUCGUUAAUGUACCUACUCCUCGCUUCCAAUAAUGUGUGAGAUCAUUCCAUUAGAAUAGAAUAAUGGGGUCGCAUGAAACAUUUCUAUCCCUCUAAACUGCAGGAAAUCAUCUCAAUCUUUUAUACUUAUGGAUGCCGAAGAGAGGUGAAAGAGGAAUAAGAAACUCACAGACUCUAAUACCUUCAAACUUGUAGGAGGAAUCUGAUCCAGUGUAUACCAAGCCCAAAGAUAAGAAAAUAAUUUUCAAUUAGGUUGCAGGUCAGCUUCGGUUCCUUCAAACAUUCUCAGCAAGUGUGGAUAUGAAUGGUAGUUCAUCCACUUUGGUAUCUAUAGUACAAUAUGCAAUCAGUAAAUCUAAGAAUUGUGCUAGAGAGUUGUUAGAUAAUAAGUAAAAAUUAAAAAAUAUCAUAAAUCUCCUUCUUGACUCUAUAAAACAAUUUCAAAAACACCAAUUGCAAAGAUAGGGCGAAUCAAGAAGAGGAAUGGAUCAACCAAAGAGGAAGGAUAAGUGUUGCGCAUAGUUAGGGCGAGUGUACGGACCUGUCUUAUCCCCACACGGAUCCAUCUUGGCUGCUCAUUCAAACUGAAGCAUCUAAGCCAUCCAUCAAGUCCAUACACGCCUCUCCUUUACAGCUAGCACCAGAAAAUCAAAGACCAUCCUUCUCUCAUCCUAGCCAUCCAAUCUAUCUUGCAUUUAUGUCCAUAGGAUCUAGGUUUAUUUUUUGAUACAUGUAAAGGCAUAUAUAAUUUUUAGAUGACGUUUUGUAACACUUAAGGGAGUAACGGGGAUUUCCCCUCUCCAUUUCAUGAAUGAUAAACUUGUUCUUGAAUCUGAAACCCUAAUCUAUAAUCUCUUAUUCUCCUAAUCUCUCAGCCUCUUAAUCUCUGUUCCUAAGUCUCUUAUUCUCUCAUAAACACUCUCAUCAAUCUCCCUUUCUAAAUCACCUAGAGCAAGCUCUCAUCUUUCUCCAUUGGAGUUUAUACACACACACAUACAACCAGAGAAGAGAACUCUACAAAUCUCAUAUGGUAUCAGAGCCAGGUUCAUCAGAACCUGAGCUGUAGCUUCCGCAAAGCACUUGCUCUCAUCUCAGCUCAAACCAAAGCCAAGAAGACAUGUUCAUCCGAGCUCAGAUUCUUCAAGAAGAAGAAGUGUGAAGCCGUGAAGUGUUCUCCUUGUCUCUCUGUCUCUACUGUUCGUCCUGAUGGUGAUUCUCCUUGGAAGCAAAGGUGUAUGGAGAGGCUUAGCAAACCUGCUUCAAAUCGCCUUGUUCAAGAAGUGUUCUCUCAUCCGGUGUCAAACUGGUGUCCAAGAAGAUGUCGCCUAGACGACAUGGAACAAGGAGAGGUCUUGAGUAUGAGAAACAAGAUGGUGGCCAUGAACUGAAGGAGAAGGAGGUGGGUGAUGAUCCAGGCUCUCAAAUCCAACAAAAGUCAUGGCCGGUUUCACAAAAUGCAAAAGGAAUCAACCUGGUUCCUUCUUGUAAGCGAUUCUAUAAACCAUCUUGAUAAUGAGCUUGUGUUGUUGACUGGUUGUGAUGAUGUGAUGUGAUUGAAAACCUGAGGAUAGUUUAAAAGAUUACUAAAUGAAAUAAAAUGAAUUUAGAAUCUGUCCCAGGAUACUUAAAGAGCUUGGCUUCCUAGUAAUCCUAAAAUCUUACUAGAUAUACUAGGCUUACUAGCAGCAGUGUAAGCGCAUUUAAAAAUGUCUAGUAACUUAACAGUAUUACUAGGAUUACUAGAUAUGUUAAUAUGCUUAGCUCCGGUUCAUAAUGAUGCUUGUUGUGAUUGAUUGAAUCUUCUUGCAUACUUGGAUUGAAACCGAAUUGAAAGCUGUUGCAUAUAGUCUUGUGGCUGUCUUACAUUGAAGCAUUAGAUUCAUGUCUAAAUGCUGAGUAAAGAAGCUUUAAAAAUGCCUAAGUAGCUUGCAUAAAACUGAAAAAGAAAGUGCUUGUGCUUAGAGAGAUUGCUUGCAAAGAUAGAACUUGAAAAUGACUUGUUUUAAUCUGUUGCAAUGCUUGUGAGAUUGGGAAUCAAACUUGAUGAUUAAUCAAGGAUUGAACCCAAUACUCUUGUGUCUUAUCUUUGCUGGAGUUUGAGUGGUGUUUCAGGUUCACAAGAAGUGUUCUUUGCUCACCAACUAUCCAAGACAAGAGGAAGACUUGACCAUUGUGUGGAGCAAUGGGAAGGUACUUGUGUGUAGAAGCUGGUUUAAGAAGCGCAGGCCACGAGGUUGUUGAGCUCGUGGUUCAAGACAUACAAGCGGAAGACCAACCAUUGUGUGGAGCAAUGAGAAGGUUCUUGUGUGUAGAAGCCGGUUUAAGAAGCGCAGGCCACGAGGUUGUUGAGCUCCUAGUUCAAGACACACAAGAAGAAGAAGGUCACCACCUAAGCCACGAGGAAGGCCGGUGAUCUGAGGGUACUUGAAGCUGAAGGCAAAAGGGUGGAUCAGUUAUUAAAGCACAACUGUUAGGGUGAUGUGCUCCUGGUCUUGAUGUUCAUUGAGGCUCAUUUCAAGUUUGGAUCUCCCCUAUACUCGGUCUGAAGCUUGCGGUGGGUGUUGGGGAUGGAUUUACAUCCUCCUCAAGGCUCAUUAGACAUUGAACUAGGCCCAUAUUGCUAGGAAGACCUAGGCCUCAUCUUUCUAUAUAUAAGGAGCUACCUCCUUAUGAGUGAAGGGGAUCUUAUCUUCUCCAUUUUUAGACCUAACACUUCUUCAAAGAGUUUAUAGAUUCUUAGAUUUAUUUCCACUUGUAAUCAUUCAUGUAUAGAAUCUUUGAUCUAAAAAUUGUUUUUGAUAUCCACUUCUCAUUUGAUUCUUUCAAGAGUUCUCCUAAACCUCAAAGAAUCUAACCAUUAUCUUUAGAUUCUUUUAUUUGUAUGAUUCAACAAACACUAUAAUCAUAAACACCAUUUUUGGAUCAAACAGUGGGGAUUCAAAUGAGCAACCUGAAGAGCCAAAGUUCAAUACCUGUUUCCUCCUUAUCAUUACAAGAGAAUGAUAAGAUGAAGCUCGUUGCCAACAUUAUGUGGGAAGUCCACAGCCUGCUCCAAAGAGGGUAGAGAGGAUGUUGUGACAAUGGAGAAAUGAAGCCUGUUGCCAACAUUCUGUGGGAAGUCCACAGCCUGCUCCAAAGAGGGUAGAGAGGAUGUUGUGACAAUGGAGAAAUGAAGCCUAUUGCCAACAUUCUGUGGAGAAGUCCACAGCCUGCUCCAAAUAGGGUAGAGAGGAUGUUGUGACAAUGGAGAGAUGACUUGUGGUUCUGUCCAUGGUGGCUGAGUCACCAUAGCCUACACAUCAGAUGAGUGUAGAGAGGACAAUAGACAUGGAAGGAAGAGCAUCACCAAGAGGGUGAUGCAAUUAAGACCAAGACCAUUGCAAGCUGAUCAUGGAGUGAUCAAGCCGAAGUAGAGGGAAGAAAAAAGCUACUCAAUAAGCUUCUGGUGUGAUAUGCUUGGAGAGUGAGCUGAUGUAUCUCCUCAGUGCAAUGGUGGUUAAGUGGGGCUGUAAGCAUCAAGUGUGAAGAAGAUGGAGGUGUUCCCACAAGAGUGAUCAUGGAGCUUAGUAUGCGCUUACCUUCAAGCUUGGAUCUUUCCUAUACUCGGUCUCAAGCUUGAGGGGGAGUGUUGGUGAACUUGCAUGAUACAAGAAGGAGCUGAUAAGCUCAGCAAGUGAGGGAUUAAAGUGACAAGCCAAUCCAGUCACUCCUCACAAAAGAAAAAGGGAAGUUUCCCUAAACCCAAUUCAAUUAAUCGCUUUCAACAUAUCUAGUAAUCUAUCAGGAAUAAUAGUUUUACUAAAGAAGAGUUGUUAAGAAUCAUUUGAAUUCGUUAGGAAUACUAGUUUUACUAGACGGCAACAUAUCUAAUAAUAUAUAAGGAAUACUAGUCUUACUAAGACGGUCUAUAAGCAUGAAUUGAUUGAGUUAUGUUCUUUGAUAAGUACUGAUACACUUGUGGAAUAAUGUAUCAGGUACCUUACUUGGAGACUCAAUGGAGAGGAUCAGGUCGUUCCUAGCCUUUCAAGAUGGCAUGAAGUCCGGUGAAAGGGGGAGACACUAAACCGGUUCUAUAGAAGAGUCCAAGAAGGUGUGUGAGGUGUGUGAAGUUUAGGCCGUGAUCCAGAGCUUCUUGUGUCCAACCACACUGGUUCUAAGGCACAAGAGCUCACUGGCCAAUCCCUAGGCUUUGGAGAUCUCUACUAUUUUUCCCUUGCAAGGUUUUGUCCCAAAGGGUUUUCCUUGUAAGGUUUUUAAUGAGGGAGACUCUUCAGAGUUCCAAGCUUGACUUAGGAUCUCCUAAAGUCAAGCUUGAGGGGGAGUGUUGAACUAAAAAGGAGAUAGAGCUUGUACAUUAAUAGGGCAAGCUCUAGAAGAUGUCCAGAAGAGUUCAAUCAAGCUUCAUAAGUGUUCUGAAGUAUCUAUAUUGUGAAGUCAAGUCUAGGAGAGACUUAGACUGAUCAUGUGAAGUGUUUGGAGGAGUUAGAGAGAAGAUGGCCUCAGGUGCAAAGAUAGGGCGAAUCAAGAAGAGGAAUGGAUCAACCAAAGAGGAAGGAUAAGUGUUGCGCAUAGUUAGGGCGAGUGUACGGACCUGUCUUAUCCCCACACGGAUCCAUCUUGGCUGCUCAUUCAAACUGAAGUAUCUAAGCCAUCCAUCAAGUCCAUACACGCCUCUCCUUUACAGCUAGCACCAGAACAUCAAAGACCAUCCUUCUCUCAUCCUAGCCAUCCAAUCUAUCUUGCAUUUAUGUCCAUAGGAUCUAGGUUUAUUCUUUGAUACAUGUAAAGGCAUAUAUAAGCCUUAGAUGACGUUUUGUAACACUUGAGGGAGUAAGGGGGAUUUCCCCUCUCCACUUCAUGAAUGAUAAACUUGUUCUUGAAUCUGAAACCCUAAUCUAUAAUCUCUUAUUCUCCUAAUCUCACAGUUUCUUAAUCUCUGUUCCAAAGUCUCUUAUUCUCUCACAAACACUCUCAUCAAUCUCCCUUUCUAAAUCCCCUAGAGCAAGCUCUCAUCUUUUUCCAUUGGAGUUUAUACACACACACAUACAACCAGAGAAGAGAACUCUACAAAUCUCAUACCCAGUGUUAUAUAGUCCAAGAUUGGUGGAAAAAUAAACCAUAUGUAAAUAUUUAACAAGGAAAAACAAGUUUUACCUUCCGUAUGUGAUGAGCGUCGAUCAACAUUGAUCAGAUGUCGCCCGAUGCUCGUGUGAAGUGGUGUCAACCGAUACUGGCCAGUCGUCGUUCGAUACUGGUGUAUUAACUCUACUUCCUUGGAUCUUUUCUUUUUCUCGAUGAACAGUGUUUUUGCUACAUUAACGUCUGCGACAGUGUUGUUCGACACUUGCUACUGUGCCGUUCAACACUUGCUACAGUGUCGUUCGAUACUGAUCAGCAUCUUUUUCUGAAAUAAAUAAAUACGAAAAUUUAGUAUAAAAUGAAAACUUAAUAUAACUAAAAUUACUUAAUAGUGGGUUGCCUCUCACUCAUCACUUAUUUUCAGUCAUUAGCUUGACUUAUGGAGAUCUCUGAUUCAGUCCGAAUGAGAAUGAGAACGUGCUUCAAAACAAGUUUCAGUGUCUCUUUUCCUCAAAUUGUUGAUGCAGAUGAUAAGAGCUCCUGCAGAAGCUUUCCCUUUGCCUCUCAUCUCUGGAUCACAUAGCACCCUGACCUUGGUCAAAGGCUGUAUACCUCCUUUGCAUCACACCCUAUACUCAAAACUUCCCUUGUGACAUUGUGAAGGAACCAGUGACAAGAAAUCUACAUCUACCUUCUUUUUUCUAUUCUACUUUCUGGUCCUUCCCCUAGACUUAGGCUUUGCAGUCUCGGUUUGUUUUGAAGUUUGGAGGGUAUCAACCGAUACUGAUGUCUGAGUGUCGAUCGACGCUGAUGUUGAUUUUGCAGUCUCGCGAUUUGAAUCAGUUGUUCUUUAGACAUCUCUAUCAUGAAAUAAACUCCUCUCUGUUGUUCUUCUCCACGUGAUCAUAGAAGACACUUUCAUCGAUAUUAGUCUGACACAUCUUAUUCUUCUUCAGAUCACAAACUGUCCCCACUGUAGCCAUGAAGGCUCUUCCAAAAAGAAGUGAAAAUGUCCAACAAGAUUUGAUCUCCAUGACAUGAAAGUCCAGAGGGACAGUGCAGUCUCCAAUCUCUACUUUAACAUUCCUGAUCAUGCCGGCUGAGUUUGUUCGGGAGUUAUCUACGAAGGUGAAACUAUCCUCAGAAGGCUCAAACUUUACUCCUAAUUAUUCAGCAGUGUCCUUUGCCAUGAUGCUGACCACCAAUUCAGUAUCGCAGAGGGCGUUCGGAAAAUUGUGGCUAUGUAUACAUCAUGGAAUCAUGAACUCCUCAGGAUAUUGUACCUUCUUUAGUGUCCUCUUGGGUUUACGGCUGACCUUGUUAAAUAGCAGAUCAAUGUCCUUAUAUGUCUCUCUGCUUUCUCAGAAGAAGUUUGUACUUAUGAUAUGCAUCCUCGAAAGACAUAUCCUUAAGAAUCCUUUUUACUCUCUUUUGAAAUCCAUCAAGUUCAGCUCUGUUAGCUUCUCUUCUGAGAUGUUUGGGAACAUAGGGUUUUCUAGAUUUUACUCUCUUCUCAACUGGAAUUCUUUCUUUCGUUGCCUGCAGAUCCAUGACAGGUUGAUGCUCGUCCAUAUGGUGUCAAUCGACAUUGGGUGUAUGUCAUCGAUCGACACUCUCAACGAAUAAGGGUACAGCUGGGGUCGAUUUCUCUUGUUCUGGUACAUGUGCAGGUUGCUGGUUAGUGUUAACUGUUGUCUUUCAUAGUUGCAUGAUAGGCCAUAGAUUUUACCCACUUUUACCCAUGGUUUAUAAGUGUUUUAACUACUAUUUAUUAUAUUAUAGAGUCUAUUUAGUAUAUUUAUAGGAUCAUGAGUGAUUUGAAAGAAAGUGAUAAUUUUGGAGCAUUUUGGAGGUAUUUGGAGAAAGCAUUCGAGCUGACCAUCGAGCACGACCAUCGGUCCACACUGAAGAGAAAUAAUCGAUUGAUGUUCACAUAGUGACAUCGAUCGACGGCAAAGCACAUAGAACCCCGUUUGGUCCAAGAAGACUUAAAGCCCAAGUCUUCACCAAUUUACAACAUUACCCCUGACGAGUUUUAACCUAAUUAUAUAAGCUUGCCAACAUGUUAGUGGCAAAGUGUGCUUUCUUGUUUAACUAUUUUCACUGCAAAAGGUUUUCUAGGAUUUUUUGUAGAUUGGAGAAAAGAUCCAAAGAGAUUUGUGAUUGGAACUCCAUUGAUAUCUAUCUAUUUAUCUAUGCAGUUUUUAUACCAAAUUGAUGUUAUGAAUUGCUUAGCCAUGUCUGAGUAGUUCUCUUGUUAGGUUUAGAGUUAAAAUAGGUUAUGAAGGAUUAGCCCCAACUAUAGAUUGCUAAGUUGUGAUAUUCAUCAUUAGGAUUGUCAUUAAAGCCAGUUUGUAGUUUAGCUAGGUUGAACUUGAUCUAGGAGUUUGAGGUAAAGGUCAUCACUUGCAUCUCACCCUGAAUCCAUCCUAAUUGAGCUAAGAUUGCUAGACUAAGGCGAAAGCUGAUAUAUGAAGCUUAAUGAGUACAUUCAACCUGCGUGAUAAAGCUUGGCCAACCACGUUGAUCGAUAUUCUAAUUGAAUAAUUGGUUGACGGUUCAUCAAGUGUAUUGAUCGAUAUUCCUAUAGUAUCAUCGAUCGACACUUUUAUCUGGUCAAUAGACAACCUAGAAAGCGAGAGCCUAUCGGUUUGUUUAUAAGUGUUGAGCUCUAUAAUAUCAUGCAUACAACUUGUUAGGCAUCUGUAGCAUUAUAAUCUUGAUUACCUGAAUAAAAGCCUUAAGUCUAGCUACUUUCAUCUAAGUACCAAAACCCCAAUCAAAUCAAUCGAGCAGCUGCCUUGCUCACAAACAUGCAACUUUUCAUUUAAUCAUAAUCAACAUAGCUUAAUCAAUCUGAUUAGAAUUAUUAGGUUCCAUAGCUCCCUAUGAAUUUAAUCUCUAAAUACUACAAAUAAAGCUCUUAUUUGAGAUAGUAAUUCACUCCUUAGGAUAAUUUGAGUGAGAUCAAAUUUGGUGCCGUUGCCGGGGAGCUUUGAUUGCUUGAUAGAUUUAAUUUAAUUUAUUCUAGGUUAUUUCUUAAAACCACUUUCUGACACAAAAUUUUUUUCUUAUAUUUUCAUGUGCAUGCCCAACAGUACCUGAAGCAACAAGGAAAUUCAACUGCUAUUCUCAUCAGAUCCUGCAAGUUUGGAACAAUCAAUUCGCAAAGGAAGACGCUCCUCAUUGAUCGACAACAACACCGGUUCGUCGAUCGAUUCUUGUCAACCACCGUCGACCCAGACACCAGUCUCGUCGAUCGACACUCGCUCACUACCGCCGACCGAAGCUACUUUUCCAUCGACCGAUAUCUUCCACGCGACGUCGAUCGAUACUUCAGUCCAAACAUCAAUCGAUACUGAGCCGCUAGACAUGGUUGCGACUUUGAUUCUUGUACGAGAUGAUAAUGGGGACCUGCAUGCCCAGAAAGGUCAUCUGCGUAAUGCGGCAGGUCAGAGGAUAUAUGCUCAGGGAGCUGCAAUCCCUGAGUGCGAUACUGAUGCUACAUGAGCUACUCAACUUGUAGAUGAUGCUGCUCGACCAAAAACGUUGGCUGAUUACAACCGUCCAGAUCAGUAAUACGCCAACAGAUUAACUAUUUGUCCUCAUGCUAUCCAAAGAGGUGAUUUCGAGGUGAAUCCGCAGUACUACACACUCGUGGGACAUACACCCUAUUGUGGGUUAUGUCACGAGCAUCCUAUGGACCGUCUGGAGAGGUUCGAGGAUCUUAUAUUUGCUAUAAAAGUCAAUGGAGUCCCUAAGGACUACCUACUUUGCAAGCUCUUCAAGGACUCACUUGCUGGAGAGGCUUCGCAUUGGCUUAAGCAGUUACCACCAGGAUCUUUUACAUCCUGGGCCGACAUCAAGAACGCAUUCUUGUGUAACUUAUUCGAUGAUGCAUGUGUUGAAAACUUGAGGAGCAAGAUUCGCGCAUGACCGUACAUAAUCUAUCAGAAGCUCCUGGUUCAGAUUCAAGUCUUAUCAGAGGAAUGCCCACACCAUGGAUUCAAUGAAGUACAACUGCUCAGUAGUUUCUUCAGAGGCAUCGCGGUGCAGUAUCAGACGGCUCUUGAUGCUUGGAACUUCAACACUAGGAAUCCAGAAGAAGCAGUGAGAAUUACUGAGAACUUGGCAUCUAGCAAAACACCAAGAACACUGAUUUUGAGAGAAAGAGAUCUAUAGCCAUCCUUGAGAAUGACCAGAUGGACGAGGUUAGGGAAAAGCUGGACAGUGUUUACAAGCUUCUCAAGAAGCAAGUUUGCUUAGUAGAGGAAGCAGAAGCUGUAGACAUAGAUGUAGAACCUAAAUUCCACACAAAGUAUUUGAUAGUGAUCGGGUUGAUCUAAGGAAGAUAAAUAAUGUGGGGAAGAUAUAUUUAGAACACAACGAUGUUAAAUAGUUUCCAGUAGGUGAAAAUAGACUAUUGAUAACUGGGAUCGAACACAACGAGUCAAACUAGAUCGAAUGAAACACACAAGUUCGAUCAAGAAGGAAUCUAAAAGUGGGAAGACAAUAAGAUUGAUAUGAAUGUAAGGCUCUCUCUAGGGUUUUCAACGGUCCACCUCCUUGUUUCUUCUCCUUCUUUUAUAGCAAAUCGACUCCGAGAUCUCCGUGCCAGCUCCGCGAUCUCAGUUUCUUGUUGCGCGAUCAUUGCGACCUCUGUGACUCCUUCUUCGAGCUUGAUUCUGGUUGUGGGCCUUGGCAUGUCUCGGCCCAUGUCUAUGAUCGGGGCCCAUUUCGGUCUUGACCAAAAUUGGGUCCAACAUUUGUCCUCCACCCCUUUUUUGAUUCGAUCGAAAAGGAAAAAGGGGCGGUUAUCCUUUGGUCUGGAUUUUACGGUUAACAUCAUUCGGGUUCGGUUUUAAUGAUUGUUUUCGAAAAGAACCGUUUGUCGGCGUGCUUUCUUUUAUUAUUAUUUUAAUUGGUAACGGAUACUUUAGUCGUUGCUAGGGAGUAGACUAGGUUAUAAUUGCCUUUCUCGAUAGCGAUGAUAGAGCUGUUAGGGAGGCUUAUAUAUACGUAGGAGGCUUUCUUUCAGCCUUAUCUCCGUUUCCUAGCUCAGCUCUCUUUCUUCCUUGCUCUAAAAUCUUUCUAUUCGAGAUCGAGAUGUGUUCGUCUUUCAAUUUUCCUCGUCCAACUACUACUGCGGACGAUCUCGAGAACCUUUACGAGUUUCAUGGGGUCGAUCGUUCCGUUGUUCUUGAUUAGGCCAGAACGGGUGAGACCCCUGAAACCGUGAGAGAGGGCUACUACAGAGCCUAUCUUUCCUUUUUCCAUUCUUGCGGUCUUAUCUUCCCGAUUCCGGAGCCGAUACUUGAGAUCUUGGCGGAUCUUGGGUUAUCCCUCUCUCAGCUUCUCCCAAAUUUCCCCAGGCAUCUUGUUGCGUUUCUUGUUAAGGCUAGGGAGGAGGGUCUCGCUUUUGGUCUUAGCGAGUUUUGUCAGUUCGUUAUGGUGAAACGGAACAAUCAGACCCCUGGGACUUUCCUUGUUUCUUCGCGUCCAGGUCGCUACGUCAUAGAAGAUAUUCAGAUGAGAAGUGGCACGAACAGUUCUUCGUUUUCCGGAUGGAUCGAACAUCUAUGGUGACUUCGAUUUCUCUCGGCUCUCUCGGCGUUGGGCUGAGAAUAUCGGUUAGUUUCUAUGUCGACUACGACGAAUCUUAUAUCUUUUUCAUUCUAAGGAUGUCUUUUUUUGACAAUCAAGAUUGGUCCUUUGGGAACCAAUGAUUGGAGAAAACUUCUGCAGUGUAGCAGAAGAACCAUAACUCGCCGGUUUGGAGCUGAAUCGAGGUGGAGGCACAGCGAAUGUGGUUGCCACCGAUUGUAUGUAUGAUGAAGAAUCGCGAUAGAAAAGUGGACGAAUGCAUAAGUUAAAAUUGGUGAAUCAGUAGAUGUUCUCCGAUGGAAAAGGUUCAACAAGAAGAGAGAAGGAGUGAGUCGGCGGUGGAGUGACUCUAGAGCUUUCUCAAUGUCGGGAAGAGACCAAGGUGGAGAUUGUAGAGAUGUGGUCUCUAUUAUCCAGUUGGGCCGAUGACAAUGGGUUAAUGCCCAUCCGCGAUGUCUGAGUGUGUUAGACUUGAAGCGAUAAGGCCUGCAGCGAUAAGGCCUGCAGCGAUAAGCCCAUGAAAUUUAGGGUACUCUCCUCAUCCUGCAUAUAUAUAGCGACUAGUUGGUUUCCUGAGGUUUACGGGAAACAGAAAGCAGAUUGUGGAGAUCAGGAGAAAGCAGAUUGUCUUGGUUAAAAGAUCAUCUGAGCUUACCUGAGCAGAUAGCAGUCGAAGUAGAAGAACUAGGUUGUUGUUCUUAGCUCUAAACUUUGGUGAAGUAGUAUUUAGAGCUUACGUCUCUUGUAUUACUCUCUUUAUACUUGAGAUAGUGAAUUGGAAGCAUAGGUCUUCCCCCAGACGUACCACAAAGGAACUGGAUAACCAAAGCUUUGUGUCUUGUCUCCUGUAAAACAAACAAACAAAUUGUAUCAAGUUAAAUUGAUCAAGUAUUAGCUAAACAAAUCUAGCUAAAAAACUUAGGUUUAAGAUAAUAAAUCCGAAACUAAACCUUACAGCUUCACCUGCUUAUUGGUUGUUUGUGUGCUCCACAGAUUUCAGGGAUCAUAUGCUUCUUUUGUUUUUACUUUAUUUUAAGUAAUCCUUGAUAUGUUUCUAAAUUCUGGCUCCGAGUCGUAUUGUUUACCUCAUCGGCUUAUGGCUUCGAAAGGCUGUUUACUUUGUUGGUUAUGUGCACUUCAAAGUUUUAACUGAAUGAAAAUCCAUCAGAUGACAAAAAAAAGUAUGCAACCACAUAUUCUCUCUAAAUUCUCGCUUUACUAUGCUGUCCUCUUUUAUUUUUAGUUAAAACUCCUACAUAUUUACCCAAAAAGCCCUUUUAUUCGUUAUGUCUCUGGACAAACCUGGUCUGUCGGUUAUUUUUGUUUCAAAUUUUUACAUUGGCAGCUUAUCUUACAACAUCACCAUUAUGUCACAAUUCAUCACAAUGUUGCAACAGUGAGCAAUUAUGUCAAAGUUGUUAUGCUGUCUACUUUCCUCAUAUUAAUUAGUCAUUGAUUAUCAUAUAAAAGUUGGCUACGACAAAGAUCAUUACAAAUUGUGAUAAAUAGCUAUACUGAUUCCAUUUUCAAGAAAAUAGUUACUGAUUUAUGACUUUAAAUUAUAGUCACCAAAUCAUAUCUUAUAUAAUAUAUAUUUUUGAUAAAAAAUAAGUUUCUUAUCCUAAAUAACCUUUUCAAAUUUAUUAACUUAAAUAGGUUUGAUUCAAAAGAUUCAUGAAGGUAUGUUAUUUUCAUCGUUUAAAUGCUAUUUGAUUUUUAUUAAUCUAAAAUAGAUAUAUACUAUUUUAUAUAUUAAGAUAUAAUAUAUAUUAACAUCCAUGGAAAUAAAAAGAAUGAAAUUUAUUAUCAUUAGUCAGUUGACCUCGGUCACCGAAUCUCUACAGUUAUUAAAAAGAAAACUUAUUUUCUUAUAGUUAUAAAUAGUCUCCAAGUUCUUCACUUUAGUUACACAAACAAAUCAAACAGAAAUAAAUUACAUAUUUGUUCAAUAUAAAUGGAGAAAGCAGCUUUGAUAUUUAUCGGUAUUCUAACUUUCACAACAUGUACGAAAAUGUUGGUACAAUCUUGCGACGACGAUUCUGAUUGUAAUGUUCUGAAAUGUACAAGUGCAGCCAAGAUCAUGUGUGUGCAAAACAUAUGCCAGUGCGCUAAUGAAAGACACCUGGGUUUUUCCUUUGGCCCCUCUGAUUCCAUAUGUAAUGCCCGUGUUUGCACUCCCAUAUGCAGGUCAAAAGGGGAAUAUUUUCAAGCUUGUCUCAAUGGCCAAUGUAAAUGCGGCACAUAUCCAUCUCGAUAACAAACUUGAUUACAUUAUCAAAAGAAGAUACGAUAAUUUUUAGUCAAAAAAAAAAGAAGAAUAUAUGAUAAUAAUUAAUAAUAUAACUUUCGCAUUAUCACCUUAAAAAUAUAAUUAUAUAAUUUUGUAAUUCAAAAAUACAAUUAUUUCUAAACAUAGAUGAUUUAUCGGGAAAAUUAUCAAAAAUGACUCAAAACUUGAUUUUGAAUACAAAAGUAUAUCCCAAAUUCAAUCAAAUACAAAAGUAACCCAAAAAGGUAGUGAAAUUACAAAAACUUCCUUAUGACAAAACAAAAAACAUGUAUUGAGUUUCACCAUUAUAACCUUCCGCGUGAGAAGACAUACAAAUAAUUAUUCUCAUAGUGAAAUUACAACAACCUCCUUAUGACCAAACAAAAAAUAUGUAUUGAGUUUUACCAUUAUAUAACCCUCCGCGUGAAAAUAAUUUAAAAUUUUGAUAAAAAAAUAUUUUGAUGGGGAAAAAAUUAAAAUCAUGUUAUAAUAAACAUUUAUAAAUGAUAUAUGUUUAGUUUUACUAAAAAUGAAUUAUUUUUAACAUAGAUGAGUGAAUGUAGACUGAGUCAUGAUAGUCUUUGGUUUAGGGUUUGGUAACAUAUGUUGUAGUAGUGUUGAUAUUUUUAGGGUAAGAUUUUGAAAUCUUAUAUAUAUAUAUAUAUAUAUAUAUUAAAUUUGACUUAUAUGUGUUUACUGACUAUGUAAUAACUCGAUUUAGACACUUUCUAAGUAUAUUUUAAGCUUAAUGAAGUGAUUUUUCUUAGUUAUUUGAUUAUAGAGUCUGGAAGACUCACAUAAGACUUCCCAAGAAGUCUUCUGAUAUAUUCCGCCUAACUUUUAUUAGAAUUUAGGGUUCCCACCGCCUAAAUCAAAGUCUUCCAGAAGUUUUCUACGGGAAGUCUUCUCACGUAUUAGAUCUUAAAAGUAAUUAAUGAUUUCUUAAAACAUAUUUUGAAAGAGAAAAAAUCGAAAUCAUAUAUUACUAAGCAUUUCUAAAUGAUAAAAAUUUAGGUUUACUAAAAUUAAAUUAUUAUUAACAUAGAUGACUAAAUGUAGAUUGACUCAUGUUAGCCUUUGGUUUAGGGUUUGGUAACAUAUGUUGUAGUAGUGUUGGUAUUUUUAGGGUAAGAUUUUGAAAUCCUAUCUAUUUUUUUUUCUUUUUUUUUUAAUUUGACAUAUAUGUGUUUAGUGACUGUCUAAUAACUUGAUUUAAACACUUUCUAAUUUUCUUUUAAAUUUAAGAUGUGGAUUUUGCUUAGUUGUUUGAUUAUAGGGUCUGGAAGACUCCCAGAAAACUUCUCAAAAAGUCUUCUUGGCUGAAUGGUUUAGAAUAUUUCUUGAGAAGUCUUCCAGUGUAAUUUAUGUUAGAAGACUUCUAAACCGAACGAAACCUUAAUUUUAACUUCAAUUUUAAUAUAACCGAAAAUAAACCAAUAUAUAUUUAACCUAAGCCGAUAAUUUAAGGACAUAUAACUAGUAUUUUUUUUUUCACUUUUCGGUGUUUUAAGAAAUUGUUUUAGUAAAAACGCGAAAACUCUUGAUGUUUGCUCUGAGGCGAUUUCAAUGGCGAUUAUAAAGACGAUUUUCGACGAAACUCUUCUCCGUCCUUUUCACCUCAGGUAAUCUUGUGUUUUCGGCAAAUCUUGUUUCUCCUUCCUCGCCGAAGUUUAUUUUUGUACAUUAAACUAACCCCCUUGAUUUUUUUUUUCAGAUCUGAAACCGUUUCUGUUGUAGUCGAACUCCACUUCUAUUAAGUUCUUUAUGUUUGCUGUCGACUUUUCAUUUCAGAACUGAUACCGUUCGUUUCUCCAUCGUGACUUAUUCUUUCCUAUCGAGUUUGGAAGAUUUGUAACCAUAGCUGUCGUCGGCGAACAUUAUCUGUUUGGACCUCAACUUCUCCGCUUUCCGACUGUAAGUUCACCCAUUUGUUUGAUGUAUAAGGGUUUCUCUCGAUUUGAUUAGUCUUCUACCGGAAUCUUUCAGAAGACUCCAGAGAUCUUACGGAAGACUUCCGAAGACUUUAUGAAGAAUUUCUAAAGACUCUAAAGUCUUCUGGAAGUCUUUUGGAAGUCUUCGGGACGUCUUCGCAUUUUGGUUUGUUUGUUAUGUUCCGUUUGUGUUUGAGAUUUUUUUUUUCAGUGUUUUGUAGGCUAUAAAAUGGAAUUACCAGAACUUCCGAAGAGGAUCUUCACCUUAGGGGAAUAGCCCAUUGCAUCGAAAAGCAUUGCGUAUGACCCAAAGUUGCUUCCUUCAUGUACAUGAUGAUGAAUGGGAGGAGCUGAAGAAUUCAAGUUUGGGAGUGUUCAUCAAGUUUUGGGAGUUGAAAUUUGGAUGGACGUCAAGGCUGGUUUAUUAUAUUCUCUGUUUCCAGCUUGAUAUCAAGAAGAAGUAUGAGCUAUGUUGUCUUAUUGGUGUAGAACCGUUGAGGUUAUCCCUGAUUGAGUUCGAGCACCUUACUAGUCUAAACUGUGAAUAUAAGGAGAAUUUGGAAAAUCUGGAUGUAGAGGUGACAAAUGAAUUGGCUCGUUUCAUGGAGAUACUAGGUGUGGAUAUUGAUGCUGGUCCAAGUUCUCAGAAAAUAAUAGCAGCAUGUCAGAGAUGUGGAGAGUGGUCUUGGGAUGACUGCAUGCGGCUUGGAUACCUAGCCAUCUACACAUGAUUCAUUGAAGGGGAAAAGUACUCAAACUCUACACGGGCUAGUCCUGCAAUGCUAAUGAUGGAUCUUGAAGAAUUUGAGACCUACCCUUGGGGGGGGACUGGCUUUUAAGUUCCUGAUGGACUUUGUGAAGUGCAAAGAUUUGACAAGGACUUAUAUUGUAGAUGGUUUAUUCAGGUUCUCCAACUUUGGGCCUAUUUUGCUAUGCCUGACUUUGCCGCAAGCUUUGGAAAGCCUAUACGAAACAAGCCUAGUCCCCUUUUGCUGCCUUACAUGGGACAUAAAGGACGAAAUUUGUCAAAUAGGCUAUAACCACACAAGUAUAUCUGAUUAUUCCCAAUAAUGUAGUUGAUAUUUACUUACUUGAUAUAUAUAACUUGAUAUUUACUUACUGCAGACUCGCGUGUUAAACUAUGUAGCGAAGAAGAUUGGUGAAAUGUUCCCUAAAUUGGACAAUGAUAACACUGAUGUGGCGGUUGAAAAGUUGGUGAAAAUUUCAUGGUUGCUUCUAAAGGUUCUUGGAAGUGGACCCAAGAGUGUUCGGCAGUCGAAGGUACUAAGCCGUUGACCAAUCAUGUCUAUGUGAAGCAAGAACCUCCUCAGCAGACUGUGAAUGAAGAUAGAAGAGCUCAGAAGAGAGCUCGUACAGAGAUGUUUACGGAGGCUCCUUCAGAGCCUACUUCAGAUCCUCCUACAGAAUCUUCUGCUUCUUGGAAUUGGCUUAAGAGAGGAAAGAAUGAACAAAUGUUCAAGGAUAUGACGAAAGUAAUGACUAAUGGGUUUGGGCAGUGCGUAAAAGAAAUGAAUCUUCUUGUGGAUAAAAUGGAAUAUGUGGAGAAGAAGGUGGGAAUCAACCAGAAAGGCACUAACUCUAAUGAACUUCAACUCACAGUUUCAGACCUGACUAAGCCUGCGCUCGAACCAGGGGUUAGUACCAAAACCUCUCCCAAAACAAAAGUACAGAGAAAUACUGGGCAAAAUAGUAGGAAGUUGAAGUGAAAGUUGUACGCUUCUUUGUGCUCAUUUAUGUUAGAAGUCUUGGAUUGUGGUUGGUUGUAUGGAUUUUGUUUCAUGUGAUUUGGUUAUACUCAACAACGAUCUUGACAUUACUAUUGUAAUCAGAAUUGCUGAGUGAGAGUGUGAAUCAGGAGAAAGUAAGAAGUCUGAAUAAUGUACAUGAUGACAACAUAGAUCCGAGUGGUAUUAAAGAACCGAGUGUUGUCAUUAUGGACAAACAAAAAUCAACCAUAUCAGAUUUAAUGAAGCAGGACGGGAGAUGCAAGACAAAGAAAGAUGAUGUUAUGGCACUAUGCCGGGCAAAGAGUGAUCGAGAAAGGAAGCUUGAUGCGGCACAUCAAUCUUCUUUUAAGGGAAACCGAACAGCCAAACUGAUCAUUCCGACCAAGAAGAUUGGUCAUGAAUAUGAUUUGUUUGCCACCGUUGACAAGCAUAAGGUAAAAGUGCUUGUUGAUUAUUUGAAAAAAAGAUCCAUAAGUAAUUUUCUCACACAUGCAUAUUUGUCCAAACUGAUUGUCAAGUUUUGCUGAUUGAGUUUUGCUUUUUACAGGGAUUAUAAACUACCUUUUCUUUAAAAAAAACUCCUGGAAGUGAGAGUUUGUGGUAUGCCAUCCUCCGAACCCCCAUGAAAUGGCUCGUCGACUCCGUAAGUCUCGUAAACAAGUACCCCUUUCAAAGACUUCGGGAAGACUUCCAAAAGACUUCUAGAAUACUUCAAAUUACUACAGGAAGGCUUACAAAAGACUUCUCGAAGUCUUCCCGAAGUCUUCUAGAAGUCUUCCCGAAGUCGCCUGGAAGUCUUCUCGUAGUCUUCUGGAAGUCUUCCCAAUUUCUUUUGAAAAAUCUGUCUACCUUGUUAUGUUUUUAAUGCAAAAUGUUGAUGGUUUUAUCAAUUUACUGAGGCUUCGGUUUUCAAACAAUCCAGAACAUUUUAGGACUGAUAGCCUUUGCUUUCUUGAUCAUCAUUUUGAACAGAUGUGGAUCAACAAGUACGGGGAAUUUAAGAGCUCAGAGACAGGUUACAACGGUUUAGGAAGAACGCUCCCUGCCGGGUCGUAUAAUCUGUAUGAAGGCUUAGCUCCAAAAUAUCGCCAAACAAAGAAGGUUUGGGGAUCAUAUGUGGAUGAUAUAUACGCGCCAGUAAAGUACAACAACGAUCAUUGGAUUGCUAUUUGGAUAUCGAUCCCUAACAAACACUUAACCAUCUGGGACAGCACUCCUACUCAUAUUAGAACUGCUCAACUGGCCGAGUUAAUGAAGCCUUUUACCACAAUGGUCCCUUAUUUGCUUGUUGAAUUUCCCAGCUCCGACUAAGAGCGAGUCAGGUACACACUAGAGCCAUUCACAUUGAGAGAGUGAAAGCCGGAGUACCUUUGGUAGAAUGUGGUGAUUGUGUGUGUACGCCUUGAAGUACAUCGAGUGUCAUGCUCUUGGCAUGCCAUCAUUUCAUCCUGCCUUUUGUAAUUAGAACGUGAAGGGUAUUAGGGAGAAGAUGGCGACAAAGUUGUUUGAACAUGUUCUUGCCUAUGGCACAUUUAUCACCAAAGACUAUGAAGACUUUGAUAUGCACGAACCACAAUAAUUUGUAGUUUGUACAAGAACCUUGAUGCUUUUGUCCGCUUUUGUAACCUUGAAGUACGUUAAAAGGGUAGAAGAUAGGAUUGACCUUUUUUGUAACCUAUCCUCGUACCAAACUAGCCUUGCACAACUAGUUUGUAAGGAUUAACUUUUUUUUAUAAUGUUUAAAUUUAAUUCAUAAAUCAUAACACAAUAGAUAAAUCAUAAUACAAUAGAUAGUUCAUAAGACAAUAGAGAAAUCAUAAGACAAUAGAUAAGUCAUAAGACAAUAGACAAUUCAUCACACAAUAGAGAAGUCAUAACACAAAGAUAGAUAGAUAGGUGGAAGACUUCCCAGAGAAAUAGACUUUCAGAAGACAUACAGAAGACCUCCAGAAGACUUACUGAAGACUCACAGAGAAGAAGACUUGAAAAAGACUUAGAAGACGUACAAAAGACCUUUGGAAGACUUACAAAAAACAUCCAGAAGACUUACUGAAGACUCAAAGAGAAGAAGACUUACAGAAGACAUAGAAAAGACCUUUGGAAAACUUACAGAAGACCUCCAAAAGACUUACUGAAGACUUACAGAUCAGGUUGGUUGCAGUUUGGACGUGUAAGACCAGGCUGUCUGCAGUUUGAGAAGCUAUAAUCCUUGUGUAGCUUCCGCGGUUUGUGUCCUCUCAUCCUGGAUAGCUCCAACCCAGAUUGCCAUCUUGACUUCUAUUGUCGCCCCGGACCACGCUUUUCUUUCGGAGGAAGACAUUUACAUGGCUCAACUACUUAAACAGAAGGAUAUAUAUUCCUUUGAGUAUAGUUAUAUCACUCAAAUUACCGUAAAGAGUGUUAUUCUCAUCAAAAGAGGUCGAGUUAUAGUACUUAGGGAUCGAAUCCACAAGGAGCUAGGGAACCGAUUAGAUCUAAACAAGUUACAAUAAACUAGGCUAAUAGAUUAUAAAAUAGCAA